RNAcentral lists this ribosomal RNA (497 nucleotides) under uncultured bacterium. RNAcentral's name for it is "partial 16S ribosomal RNA". It matches the Rfam family "Bacterial small subunit ribosomal RNA", at positions 28 to 507 of the family's 1533-position model. The record is from RNAcentral.
GAUGAACGCUGGCGGCGUGCCUAAUACAUGCAAGUCGAGCGAACGGACGCGGAGCUUGCUUUUCUGAUGUUAGCGGCGGACGGGUGAGUAACACGUGGAUACCCUACCUAUCAGACUGGGAUAACUUCGGGAAACCGGCGAUAAUACCGGAUAAUAUUUUGCUCCGCGUGGUUCAAAAGUGAAAGACGGUGUUGCUGUAACUUAUAGCUGGAUACGCGCUGCAUUAGCUAGUUGGUAAGGACAAGGCUUACCAAGGCAACCAUGCAUAGCCGACCUGAUGGAGGGAUAGGCCACACUGGAGGUUGGACGUGGUCCAGACUCCUACGGUAGGCAGCAGUAGGGAAUGUGCCGCAAUAGGCGAAAGCCUGACGGAGCAGCGCCGCGUGAGUGAUGAAGGUCUUCGGUUCGUAAAACUGUGUUAUUAGUUAAGAACAUAUUUGGAAGGAACUGUGCACAUCUUGACGGUACCUAAUCAGAAAGCCACGGCUAACUACGUG